CUGCAUCUACCUCUCCCAUGGCACCAACUUAGAGGAGCCUGUUGCUCCUCCGUGCAAGUGUCUUUUCCAUUUUGCUCUGUAUCGCAAUUCUGUAAAAAAAUACCAUAAUAAAUAGCUAACAGUUUGUGGGCUUUUUGUGUCAAUGAAAAUCUUUUGCCUGAGGCAGCUGCCUCACUUUGCCUAUUGGUAGGGCCAAUCUUGCACCCUGCAAAUACCAGCAGCACCCUCCCAGGCUCUCAUCUCUUCAGAAAGAGCUGUGACCUGCUGGCCUGGUCACCCAGGAUCACCUAACCUCCCUCAAGUCAUUGGCUUCCUUUUUAGAAAGGAGAUGGGUGGUGGGUGAGCAAACAGGUGGUGAAGAAAGGUGGAGGGAGUCGCAGAAAGAAGUUCCAUUUCUGUUAGUAGUGGUCCCCCUAUUAAGUUCCUUCCUUUGGACAAGGCUACAAUCAAGGCUUGUACAGUACGUGUAAAAACUGUUGCUGUGAUUGGAGGUUGCUUUACAGCUACAGUACAAGUUGCACCAGAGAAGGGGCAUGGGAAUUGAAAUCUGCUGUUUCUCCAUCACGGAGUCCAGAGACUUUCACACAGAGCUUGAAGCUCAGGAGACAUAAAGAAACAAGCUGGAAGAGAAAGGAAGCAACUUCAAAAUGAAAUUCUAUAAUAAAGCGAAACAGUAAC
Podarcis muralis (Common wall lizard) is the source of this 678-nucleotide non-coding RNA. The record is from RefSeq and is a predicted model, not a curated record. Lineage: Eukaryota; Metazoa; Chordata; Lepidosauria; Squamata; Lacertidae.